Molecule: long non-coding RNA, 4133 nt
Organism: Solanum pennellii
Lineage: Eukaryota; Viridiplantae; Streptophyta; Magnoliopsida; Solanales; Solanaceae
Exons: 3
Source: RefSeq, a predicted model, not a curated record
CUAACCUUAAGGAAAAAGUAUUAAUAAUACCGUGAAACCACGGUAUAUCAGUUAUCCAGAAGGUUGCAUAGCAGAGACACGAGUGGGAAUAGAUUGUAUGAUUUUAUUCUCAAAAUAUCUACGUGGGGGUGUGUAUACAAGAUCUGAUAGAAGAUCUCGGAAUAAUGAUGAAUGUGACCCAAGUGAUGCAGAAAAUAUGACUUUGUUUCGUAACAAAGGAGUUCCUUUAGGAGCAAUGAAAAUUGAUCCAUUCAUUUUAGAUGACAAGUCACUCAGUCAAGCACAUGCAUAUAUUAGGUACCUUAAUUUGAAUUUGGUGUUCAUUUUGUAUAAUUAAUUUUAACUUAUUUUAUUUAUAGUUUUAAGAAAAUAAGUUCAUGGUGUGUAGAGAGCAUGAACAAGAGGUAAAUAAUCAACUACGAAGAUCUAAAUGGAGCAAGUCCAAGAGUUAUUGUCAAAACUUCUCUCAAUGGUUUGAAACUCGUGCUCUGCAAAAGGAUGUGCCUGAUUUGAUAAAACAAUUUUCUAGAGGACCGAAUUCUGUUGCAAAAAGGUAUUCUGGGUACCCCAUCAAUGGAUAUAGAUUCCAUGUUAGGCAGCAUGAUGCAAGGAGUAAAACACAAAAUAGUGGUGUUACACUAGUUGCCUCAACUACAAGUUUUGCAAGCUCAAAGGAUGUUCCAAUUGCUGCAAAUUUGACUUAUUAUGGUAGAAUAGUUGAUAUUGUUGAGCUAGACUAUCACGGCCAUUUUAAGGUUGUUCUAUUCAAGUGUGAUUUGUAUGAGGUUGAAAAUGAUACUUAUGGCCUUACUUAUGUCUAUUUUAACAAAAGAUGCUCUCAAGAAGGCCUUUUGUACUUGGAUCUCAAGUACACCAAUGUUUCUAUGUGCAAGAUCCAUAUGAUCAAGAUAGACAUUAUGUUAUGAAGACUGUUCCAAGAGAUUUGUUUAACAUGAGUGAUCAAGUUGAAUCUAGUCUCUCACAAAGUUAUGAAAAUGAUCCAUCUGUACAUUCAGUGGGACCAUCUAUACCAAAAGAUAAUAGUGAAGUUCUCUUAACAAGGACUGAUUUACCAAAAACAGUUAUUGAUGUGCCUUUUGAAGAAUUUAUUACUCAACAACUUGAAGAUGAGUAUGAAGAGGAAUUAGAAGAUGAGUUUGAAGACGAGACUGAAGAUGAGUCUGAAGAUGAGCCUGAAGAUGAGUCUGACGAAGAGUUUGAAGAUGACACACCAUGAGUUUCAUUAUUUGUGUGAUGACUAUGUGGUGCUCACUUACUGUUUUGUUAUUUAAUUGGUUUUUUACUACAAACACAUAAAGAUAUGUAAUAUGUGGAAUUGAAGAUUAUAUCGCUACAAUCUUUCAGUAUUCUAUUGGUUUUUUCCCUUUAUUUCUGCUAUGAUAUAGAUAUAUGGGAUAUUUUCAGUUUUAUACAUUAGACAAGGUUCAUUGGUUCUUUUUCUCAUAGGCUUAUGUGACCAUUCCAGUUCAAAUCUAACUUUUGGUUGAAGACUCUACUGCUGAAACAACAGUGCAAGUGAAUAAUGUCAUGUGCUUUUCUCCACUUUACUGUAACAUCUCAGAGUAUCUCUUUAUCUUUUGUGGGGUUCUUUUGUUUACACCUAAUGCUUGAGACAUUAAAGACAUGUAAUUCAGAAGGUUAGCAGCUAGCAGGUAUGAGUAUUCUACUUUUCAGUUACACUUUCCGUUGUUUAUUGUGUUGGUGGGAUGUUGGAUGUUAUGCUAGUUAAGAGAUAAGAGGAAAAUCAAUGUUAUCAGCUAGUGGAAUUAUCUAUUUCCUGUUAUUAUCAUCUAAUUUACAUUACAGGUGGAACUAAACUGUCAAGUUAGUUCUAUGUUGUUAUUGAUAUUAAGCUGGAAAAGUUGUAUUGAUUAUUGUUGUUUCUUUUGGCCUCUCUUAUUUGUUGGGUAUGAGUUGUUAAAAUUUCUAAUGUCUGUAAAAGAUGUCAUUAUUUUUUAUAGGUGGAGUUUAUUAUAUAGUCAAUCACAAUUUGCUUGGAUUAACACGUAACUGUUGUAGUUUAGUUUGGCAUUUGUUAUAUACUACACUUUUCUUAUAUCUUACCCUUGACCUAGUCCCACAUAGCCUCUACUCUUCUUUUAAUCCCUAAGCAGAAGUUUCAGAGACAGGAUCAUACCAAAUCUUGUGUUUUCAAUGUUAACUAAGAGGGUUAGGAUAAUAUUUCAAGGUGUUAUAACUCUCUCUUGAUAAAGCUUAAUAAACCAGUCUUUUGGAGGCGCAAACAUAAUAACAACGAGAGGGGGGAGCAAUAGCAAAAAUCUUUGGUGAAAGUAUAGGUCUACUUAUUUCCUUUCAUAUCUCUAUCUCUAGCAUAGUUUAGAGAAAAUGCUAAAGAGGAGGCACAAUGAAGAGACUUAAACAAAAUGAGAAGUCCUAGAAAUGGAAAAAUAUUUACAGUCAGUUUGAACUUCGACAUAAUUUGAACAAAACUAAUUGUCAGAUAGUUAACAUGGAUUCUGCAAAUAAUAACCUAACAUUUCCUGUCAGGUCACUAAAGAGUUCAUAGGCAUGAUAAAAGUAUUCUUGCUUUUCAGAACCUUGUUGGCUUAUCUGUAUCUGAAGGUUACAUUGCUACUUACUCAAAGACGAAAAAAGCCUCUGAAAGUUUAACAACUGUUGGACGACUAUAUGGAAAAAAUAAAAUUUCAGAAUGAGGCAUAAGUAGAGAAAUAUUUUUGCAGUCCUUGGUUAAUAUUCCCUUGAAACAAGAAAAUCCAAUUUUUUACUUAGGAAAACUGAUGCAUCAUGAGAAGUCCUAUCAAAAGAAGCUAUGUUUUAAACUUUACUGUCAAAGACAGUGCAACAGUUAUAAGAAUUGAUGGUGUAUCCUUAUGUAUAGCUUCUGGUUUUUGAAUGAGUAUAUGAAUGAGUGAGGUAAGGAAUUAUCAAGAUAUGUAAGGUGAAAGCUGAAAAGCAUGACAUGUAGAAGGAAAGUAAAACCAUUCUGCACAAGGGAAGUAUGACUUGCCAGGAUUUCAUCUACCACUAUGUUUGUAUUUGUAACAAAACACUUUUCAAUAUUUGUAAUCUACCACUAUGAAGUUUGUGGCCAGUUAAUUUUUAUGAUUAUUAUUUUGGAGGUCUACUUAAUACAAAGAAAGAGCAAAAAGAUGAAUCAAUCAGCAAUACUAAAAGGGUUUGAAUCCUAACAAGGCUCAAAGUCCAUUGAAGAAUCUGGAUGCUGAUAUGCAAUACCGCUCAAGUACUGAAUUGGUCAAUAAAUUUUAGAUUAAGAGAGAAAAUGUUGCAAACGAAUGCAAUAGUAAAUCUAAGAAAGCGCACCUACCAAUAUCGCUUAAAAGAAAGAAAUCCGAGGAUUUCAUUCCACAACAAGGAAAAAGUGAAUUUGUUGGCCACAAAUCAGUUAUUCAGUCAUCUCCCAGGGAAGAACUUAGUACUGCAAAUAUGAUUUUAGGGAAAGGACAGAACGAACCAAGGUCAUUUCUAUGUGGAGAGUCCAUUCACGAAAAAGGAUUUAAACUACCUAUGCCUAAUUUCAGGUUCCAAAUGUCAUCUAAUGAAAAUGUUACUUCGUCUACAUGUGAAUGGAACAACACUACAUAAUGGAGAGGAACAACAUGAAAUUCAGGAUCUAUUAAACUUCAAACAGGUGAAGAGGAAGUUGGUCCUACCAGCCACUAGUGUUGAACAGUUUCUGAAUGACCAAGAGAUACAGAAAGAACAUGAUAUUGAUCAUGAUCUACCAACAAAGAAACACAUAACGAAGAAGUCAGUCAUACCACCUACUGGUCUUGAUCAAUUUAAGAAACAAUAAGGGAUGGUCAUAGGCGAUGAAAGAAACAGAUUAACCACACAGUUGCUGAUGUCGAGUAUACACCUACUCCUUCUAUUCAUCUCCAUAAAAGGAUUGGAUGCUAUUGAGGAUGAAGUAGAAAUUGGAAAGGAUGCAGUUUAUGAGGAAGUUGAUAUUGAUUGUAGUACAAAAGGGAAAUCGGAGCAGAAAAAAUGUUUGAGGAGAAACAGCAUGUAAGAAUAUUCAUGCAAGAACUUUUGAAGAAAGAGAGGAAGUGACAUUUGAUAACGGACAAGCAGUGGGACCAACCGAUAAGAUAGUGUCAGAAUUAACAAAU